RNAcentral lists this ribosomal RNA (569 nucleotides) under Gyalolechia fulgens. RNAcentral describes it as "eukaryotic LSU rRNA". The stretch from base 202 to 355 matches the Rfam family "5.8S ribosomal RNA". The record is from RNAcentral. Lineage: Eukaryota; Fungi; Ascomycota; Lecanoromycetes; Teloschistales; Teloschistaceae.
UUAAAAAGGGGGGCUUCGCGCCCCAGGGGUUCACGCCCCGCACCUUUUCACCCGGUGUCCAUCUUCCAUUGUUGCUUUGGCGAGCCCCGGGGGCUUUCCCCCGGCGCGGGUCCCCUAACGGAGUCCCGCGAGCGCCCGUCGGAGGUCCAUCUAAAAUCUGGGUUAUCAGUGGAGUCUGGUCAAAUGCAUAAUUGGAAACAAAACUUUCAACAACGGAUCUCUUGGUUCUGGCAUCGAUGAAGAACGCAGCGAAAUGCGAUAAGUAAUGUGAAUUGCAGAAUUCAGUGAAUCAUCGAAUCUUUGAACGCACAUUGCGCCCCUCGGAACCCCGAGGGGCAUGCCUGUUCGAGCGUCAUUAAACUCUCAAGCGUGGCUUGGUAUUGGGUGCUCGCUCCUCCGGGUUUGGGGGAGCGCGCCCGAAAUUUAGUGGCGGUCUGGGGAGACUUCAAGCGCAGUUAAUACUCAUUCGCUUUCGGAGCUUUCGACCUGUGGCCCAGCCAGCAACAUGCCUUAAUUCUAAGAAUUGACCUCGGAUCAGGUAGGGAUACCCGCUGAACUUAAGCAUAUCA